GUGGGGAAUAUUGCGCAAUGGGCGAAAGCCUGACGCAGCCACGCCGCGUGAGUGAUGAAGGCCUUCGGGUUGUAAAGCUCUGUCGGGAGGGACGAAGGGGUUGUUCAGAAAUGGGCAACCCUUGACGGUACCUCGCAAGAAAGCACCGGCUAACUCUGUGCCAGCAGCCGCGGUAAUACAGAGGGUGCAAGCGUUGCUCGGAUUUACUGGGCGUAAAGCGUACGCAGACGGUGAGAAAGGUCGAAUGUGAAAGCCCCGGGCUCAACCCGGGAACUGCAUCCGAAACCAUCUCGCUAGAGUAUGAGAGAGGGAAGCAGAAUUCCUGGUGUAGAGGUGAAAUUCGUAGAUAUCAGGAGGAAUACCUGCGGCGAAGGCGGCUUCCUGGCUCAUUACUGACGUUCAGGUACGAAAGCGUGGGUAGCAAACAGG
Molecule: ribosomal RNA, 429 nt
Filed under: uncultured bacterium
Lineage: Bacteria
Description: bacterial SSU rRNA
Rfam family: Bacterial small subunit ribosomal RNA
Source: RNAcentral